GGAGAGGCAGAGGGGCAGGAAACGGCUUGUUUUUUAAGGAGUCGCCGCCGGCCGCCGCUGGCUCGUUUCCGCCAUGCACUCGGGCUCCCGCCAGCCUGGCCGCCGCUGCGCCGCUCAGCGCGGUAACCUGUGCCAGCGCUGGGUCCGCGGUGGGCCUCACCUCCAAAGGGAGCCAGCUCUCCGGGGGCCCCGCUGGCAGACGGAGCGGCCCCCGCCCCUGCCGGACAGGCGGAAAGGGACACGCCCCGGAGCUGGGGAGGAGCCGGGGGAGCUUCAGAGGGAGGUCAGCGCCCACCCGCGGGGGAGGCCGCCGUCUGAGGGGCCCAAUGUACACGCGCCGCAAGGAUCCUACGGUGCUGCCGGGCAGGGGCAGGGGCAGUGGAACCCAGCCAGGUGGGUCCGGACCCCAGAACCGGGCCCGCAGUUCAGAGCCGCGGAGGAACGCUGCAGAGGAUGCGCCUGCCCUGGACACUACUGCUGGGCUGGGCCACACCCCUUGAGAAUGAAGUGCGCGCCACUCCCGCCGAACGGGUUCGGAGGUCAGCAGAACCACAGGUCCGACCCCGGGGGGGCGUCAGACUGGCAGCUCUGGGACCACGCUCCAGAGAGGUACUGCAGCGACCCGCAGGUCCCUGAGCAGGUCCACUCCAGAACGCAGGAUUACAACAGACAAGUUGCUCUGAAUUCUGCUCCUUUUCCCAGCCAGGAAUUUAGCAGUGACGGUGGCACAGUGAAUGAUUCGGUCGGGCCAAAGAGGAAACCAGAACAGCUUUGUAAUGGACUCAGCUCGGUCCAUGGCGGCUUCUUCCCCACAGAGAUCCCUCAGGCACGGCCUGCCCGCACCAGAGAGCAAGGUCCACUACGACCCAGUAGUACACCUCCUUACCUCCAAACCGACACCCCCAGCAAGGGAACGGGGCAGACGACCGAACUGGCUUUGAAUGGGCCAAAGAGGAACCAGGCGACGGUCCGAGACCAGAUCCGACGGGUGGUGGAAGAUUUGGAGGGCGUUCUUUGUGGUCUGAAGCAGGUUCACCUGGAGAUGAAGGAGGUGGUCCAACAGAUCGACCUGCUGACGUCUCACAUUGACCUGAAUACAAUGGAAGCGGGCAGCUCCAGUAGGAUGAUAUCGUACAGUCACCCCAGGGUAGGGGGUCAGGGUUCAGCCCAAGCACAGUCCAUUUCGCCUGCCCACAGCCCAUCUGUCCUCAUGACUGACCGGGGUGUGCCUCUGACCUCCUGCAGCAGUCCCCCCGGACCCGGGCCAGGCUUUCUGUCCAAUGGGAUUCGUCCUACCACCCACCCACCCAGGGACCAGGGGGGAGGGGCGUAUUAUGGGCCUAGAGAGACAGAGCUGCCCCUCUCCAUUCCCGCCACUCAGACUCAGACCCAGGGAGGGUGGCAUGGCAGUGGCAUGGCUGCCCCCAGGGAUCGGAGACCGCCCCCUUAUCCGCAUGACAGACAGGUGGUGAAGCUCGGAACGAGGGCGAAGGGCCCGCCCAGCUCUCUGAAGACUCCGCCCCACCCGGGGAAGCGCAGACAGGCCUCCUCCGCGGUGUGAGGGGGCACUGGCCAGAGCCAUGCCCCCAGGGCUACGGACAUGCGGCCCACAGAAGCCUCAGAGAGCAGGCCCCAGACUCCCAGGACACAGGCCAUCAGAGCACCCUGCUGCUGGAACGUGGAAUGGUGCCAUGAAGAGGAGAUGGCGUGGGGCCGAGGGGAUUUCUGCAAAGGAGAGACACUCCGCAGGGGCGAACAGAGACACAGAUGUGUGACCCCUCUCACAGAGUUGCCCGAAUUUUGAGCCAGUAUCCCGGUGUGGCUGCGCAGAACUGAGAAAUGUCCCUGCUACACCCCGAGCACAACAUGUGACCCUCUAACUCCCGAAAAUUGUGAAAGAAUUCAGAUGCUUUCGAGAAACGAGGCCCAGGACUCCAGACGACAGGUUUCAGGAUACGUGGAUAACCGCACUACCAAAUCAAAGCUAUCAAGCCAUGUGACCCCUUCUGACACAUGAACGUAUGUGACCUGUUACUGCAUGUCUUUCAUACAUAUGUGUAACCAUUUUUAUACCUAGAAUGUACCAAUAGAAGAGGUUGAAUCCAACUAGAUAUUUUUGAAAUGUCUGUUAUACCAAACUUGCUGUUAUAUGUUAAAUAUCAUUGCAAAAUCAGGGAUCAUUCACAUGAGGAGUCGAUGACACAUUUGACGCUACCUUGCUCUGAAAUGUUUCUUUCACGUAACUGUCGUUGCUUAUGUUGACCACUAGAGGACGCUUCAUUACCACAGGCGUAGUAUUUUUGAUUUAAACAGCUUAUUUCUACUCUUUGAAUUGUGGGUAGAUUUUUAUUGCACCGAUUGUAAAUGAUUAAUUCAUUCAAGAAUUCAUCCAUAUGUUUUACUAAACUGCUAUUCGGAUAUGCGACAACAACAGAAUAUGAUACUUUAAUUGCUGGAGGAGUAUCCAGGUAAGCCAUUAAAAUGCUGACAAAGCUAGCUAAUGACUUGCGUCUUACAAGUAAGAGUACUGUUCAUAAUAUUUAUCUUACAAGCUUCUCUUUAUCAAUGCAAAUGAGAUUAUUGCAGCCUCAGGUGUUGUGUAGUGAUAGAAACAGGGUUAAACUCUGAUUAUCAAUAACUGGUAAAAACAAAGGAAAGAAAAAAAAGGAUUACUCUGUAUUGUCCUUGUAACGUUUCCUGACUUGUAAUCCAGUGGACUUGGAUAAAGGAAAACAGUUUUCUGAGAAUAAACUCCCCA
Molecule: RNA transcript, 2758 nt
Organism: Megalops cyprinoides (Indo-Pacific tarpon)
Lineage: Eukaryota; Metazoa; Chordata; Actinopteri; Elopiformes; Megalopidae
Exons: 4
Source: RefSeq, a predicted model, not a curated record